Molecule: long non-coding RNA, 2712 nt
Organism: Columba livia (rock pigeon)
Lineage: Eukaryota; Metazoa; Chordata; Aves; Columbiformes; Columbidae
Exons: 2
Source: RefSeq, a predicted model, not a curated record
GUCUGCACAGAAGGAGACUCCACAACGCCCUUGGCCACCUGGUCCAGGCUCUGGCACCCUCACCAUGAAGAAGUUUCUUCUCACAUGAGGCGCGGAACUGACCUUAAAACCCUUGAGGUUGUAGGGAAGGCACCUCUCCCGUUUCCCAAGACUUGGCAAAGAUGAUGGAGAAUGGUCCAGCAAUGACUUCAGCCAGUUGCCUCAGCACCCGCGGGUGCAUCCCAUCCGACCCAUGGAUUUAUGGAUGUCCAGAUGACUUAAUUGCUCCCUAACCCAGUCCUCAUCAGCCGAGGCAAACUCCUCCAUUGUCCUGCCUUCCUGUGGGGCCUCAGGGGUACGAGGCUCCUCAGAACAGCCUCAGGCAGUGGAGACAGAGACAAAAAAGGCAUUUAGUAAUCCUACCUUCUCUGUAUCUUCUCUGUAUCUUUCCCUCUUAUUAUGUUUAGUAGCAGGUUUGAUCGCUUGCUUUGCACAGGUAUUCAGUCUCGGUGGCACAGCCCCUUACUAGUUACUUUUAAAAAUGAGUUAAAUGACUGAUCGAUUCCUUGUGGAGAAGCGAAGGUGGCGUCUCAUCCCUUUAAAAGCAACUUUCGGUCAGGAAAGACACGCAAGUAAUAACAGUGCUUCACAUUUUUAAUACAGAGUUUUGCCCAUGAUUGUCUUUUAGAAAUAUUAGGUAAUUAAAUUGUCAAGCACAGAGUGAGUGAAUGUCUUCACUGAAAGCACCAGCUUCUGGGAGCAAACUAAGAGAAAAUUUACACAGUAAUACUCCUAAGAAUUGAAGAUCAGAAAAGAAGAAUGUCAAACCAAGCUACUGUGCAAGCAUAUUAUUAUAUAUGAAGCACUAUGGUUGGAACAAAGGGCUGUAUCAGCCAUACAGAAGGAAUGGUCCUGUCAGAAACUGCUUCCAGCUUCAGGCAUGGAAAAAUGCUGUCCUGUUAUUAAACUUUCAACAGAGCUGUUGCCCAAGGAGAACUUGCAGAAUUUAACUCAGAUAAAGUUUAACACAAUUAAAUGCAUUUAAGAUAUCAAAAUAGCAGUAGCAAGCAAUUGGUAAAGAACAGAAUAUGGGAAUGUGCCAAGAUGCUGAGCGGUCUGGAGCAUCUUUCUAAUGAGGAGAGACUGAGAGAGCUGGGGCUGUUCAGCUGGAGAAGAGAAGCUGAGAGGGAUCUUAUCAAUGUGAUAAAUAUCUCCAGGGUGGGUGUCAAGAGGAUGGGCCAGACUCUGUUCAGUGGUGCCCAAUGACAGGGUGAGGGGCAACGGGCACAGACUGAAGCACAGGAGGUUCCAUCUGAAUAUGAGGAGAAACUUCUUUCCUUUGAGGUGCCAGAGCCUGGCCCAGGCUGCCCAGAGAGGUUGUGGAGUCUCCUUCUGUGAGACAUUCAAACCCGCCUGGACACGAUCCUGUGUGAUCUGCUCUGGUGACCCUGCUUGAGCAGGUGGGUUGGACUGGAUGAUCUCCAGAGGCCCCUUCCGACCCCAGCCAGUCUAGAAUUCUCUGAUCCUGUAAUGUGAUUAGGAAAUUCUGACCCGCAUAUAUAUAUAUUUUAUCCAACAGCAAUUUCAGUGGUCAUAACUGGCCAGCGGGAGUUCAGAAUUACCUGUUACCUCGAAGGCAUUACUCAUUUUAUCAAAGAGCAAGUAUUAGUUGCACCAUACUCCUGAAAGCAGUACUGUAACAGAGGAAAAGCUCCAUCGGAGAGCUCCAGAGCUUCUUCAGCCAGAUAUGUAACAAAUUCAAACUGAACAGGCUAUAAGCUCAAUGUGUUUGCUGCCUUAGCUGUGCCUGUAUUCAAAACAAAAUAAUGUAUUUGACCAAAGUCUUUGCCAAGAAAGAAAAAGGCUGAGAGCUUCUUAUCAUUCAGUCCCUGUGACUUUACACAUGCUGUUUUAUUCAUCUCUUUUCCAAAACAAGAGGAAAUGUUUACUAGAUAUUUUCCUGGCAAGAUUUUUGUAACCAAAGGCUCAUUUUUCUUUUAGUGUAUCUUCCAGGGGUCAUGAAUUAGACCUCAGAGAGCUUCCUUUAAUCAACCUGGUUGUAUCACAGAGGAGGAAAAACGCUGUUAUUUUGUUCUGAGGAACUGGGCAGUGCUUGUGUGGUAUUCUUUAUACAGAGUGGACUUCAGCUCUGUGCACGGUUCUCAGCCAACAUGGCGAGUUCUUUCUGAAGACCUGAUAGCUGAUUACAAAAGCUUCUCCUUGUGCCUGUGUGUGUGCACACACAUUUUUAAGAACUAUUUUGCACAGCUCAUGCUCAGCCGUGAUCCUAUAAAUGUAAUUGAAAUUAACAUUAUUUUCCUCUCUUUUUUUUCCUCAAGUUAUGCCAGUCUGUGUAGGAAAACAAACCUUACAGAACUGUUGAAUAGCUUCCAAGUUAACAGCCUCUCUGAAAAUUCCCCUCAGUAUUUACUGACUUGCCAUCUUCAUGGGCAUUUUAUUCUUUACAUAACCUCUUUUCCAUUUAAAAAUGACAGCUCUUACACAACUUAUCUUUCAACCUGUACAUUACCUACAAAAAUCUUAUUGCAGGCGCUAGCCAUUCCUCUUCCCACAUUUUUAUUUUACUAAGAGCACAGCGUUGUUUUGCAUUUCUGAAGCAAUGACUGUCCCCAUUCUCUCCUCCACAGCAUCACCUUCAGCCAUAGAUAUGGAGAGUGCCGUACCUAACAUUGUCUGGUUGUAAUUUCGCUAAAAUAAAUCAACAUAAUCAAC